Molecule: ribosomal RNA, 310 nt
Filed under: uncultured bacterium
Lineage: Bacteria
Description: bacterial SSU rRNA
Rfam family: Bacterial small subunit ribosomal RNA
Source: RNAcentral
GAUGAACGCUAGCGACAGGCUUAACACAUGCAAGUCGAGGGGCAGCGGGGGUAGCAAUACCCGCCGGCGACCGGCGCACGGGUGAGUAACGCGUAUGCAACUUGCCUAUCAGAGGGGGAUAACCCGGCGAAAGUCGGACUAAUACCGCAUGAAGCAGGGGCCCCGCAUGGGGAUAUUUGCUAAAGAUUCAUCGCUGAUAGAUAGGCAUGCGUUCCAUUAGGCAGUUGGCGGGGUAACGGCCCACCAAACCGACGAUGGAUAGGGGUUCUGAGAGGAAGGUCCCCCACAUUGGUACUGAGACACGGACCAA